This is a small nuclear RNA of Perognathus longimembris pacificus (Pacific pocket mouse), 108 nucleotides long. The record is from RefSeq and is a predicted model, not a curated record. NCBI's taxonomy places the organism in Eukaryota, Metazoa, Chordata, Mammalia, Rodentia, Heteromyidae.
GUGCUCACUUCAGCAGCACAUAUACUAAAACUGGAACGAUACAAAGAAGAUGUGCAUGGCCCCUUGUGCAAGGAUAACAUGCAAAUUCGUGAAGUGUUCCCUAUUUAA